CGGGUGAGUAAUGCGUGACCAACCUGCCCCAUGCUCCAGAAUAGCUCUUGGAAACGGGUGGUAAUGCUGGAUGCUCCAACUUGACGCAUGUCUUGUUGGGAAAGUGUUUAGUGGCAUGGGAUGGGGUCGCGUCCUAUCAGCUUGUAGGCGGGGUAAUGGCCCACCCUAGGCUUCGACGGGUAGCCGGCCUGAGAGGGCGGACGGCCACAUUGGGACUGAGAUACGGCCCAGACUCCUACGGGAGGGCAGCAGCA
Molecule: ribosomal RNA, 254 nt
Filed under: uncultured Gardnerella sp.
Lineage: Bacteria; Bacillati; Actinomycetota; Actinomycetes; Bifidobacteriales; Bifidobacteriaceae
Description: partial 16S ribosomal RNA
Rfam family: Bacterial small subunit ribosomal RNA
Source: RNAcentral